This 427-nucleotide ribosomal RNA is filed under the name uncultured bacterium. RNAcentral's name for it is "bacterial SSU rRNA". It matches the Rfam family "Bacterial small subunit ribosomal RNA", at positions 355 to 774 of the family's 1533-position model. The record is from RNAcentral.
UAGGGAAUAUUGGACAAUGGGGGCAACCCUGAUCCAGCCAUGCCGCGUGAGUGAAGAAGGCCCUCGGGUUGUAAAGCUCUUUUGUCCGGAAAGAAAAGCUUCGGGUUAAUACCCCGGGGUUCUGACGGUACCGGAAGAAUAAGCACCGGCUAACUUCGUGCCAGCAGCCGCGGUAAUACGAAGGGUGCAAGCGUUACUCGGAAUUACUGGGCGUAAAGCGUGCGUAGGUGGUUGUUUAAGUCUGAUGUGAAAGCCCUGGGCUCAACCUGGGAAUGGCAUUGGCAACUGGGCAGCUAGAGUGCGGUAGAGGGUAGUGGAAUUCCCUGUGUAGCAGUGAAAUGCGUAGAGAUCGGGAGGAAAAGCUGUGGCGAAGGCGACUGCCUGGACCAGCACUGACACUGAGGCACGAAAGCGUGGGGAGCAAACA